RNAcentral lists this long non-coding RNA (811 nucleotides) under Ananas comosus (pineapple). RNAcentral describes it as "long non-coding RNA (ACOM_LNC034939)". Lineage: Eukaryota; Viridiplantae; Streptophyta; Magnoliopsida; Poales; Bromeliaceae. The record is from RNAcentral.
AUUCGGUGGCCGGUGGGACCUUUUGCGGCAACAUAUGGUAAUAAUUUUUGUCGUCACAAUAGAUAUUUAGUGGCGAUAUUUUUAUAUUCGAUGAUGAUUUUGGACCCACUAGUUGAGUUGGACAUAUAAAUAUCCUAAACUAAUGAAGGAAGAAAGAAGAAACUCAAAAGUAUAAAAAUAAUAAAUUAUUUAUAUACGAAGAAUAAAAAAAAAAAAAAAAAAAAAAAAAAAAAAAAAAAAAAAAAAAAAAAAAAAAGUAAAAAAGUAAACAAUAAAACAAUAAAACAAUAAAAAAUAAAAAAAGCAAAAACAGAAAGCCCUUUUAUUUCUUCCUGCUAGCACCAUUAGUGCUAGGAAUAGCAUGCUAUAUGUGACUCGACAUUUGAUUUUCGAAUUUGGUUUAAUUUGCUACCUGAUUGGCGACAGUUUCGCGGCACGAUAAAUUUUGAAAAAAAAAUUGUGAAGGAAAAAAAUUAAGAAUUUCUGUGGUGCAUGGAUAGCGAAAGGUUCGGGACGAUAGAUACGAAUCAGAUCCAAUUAUAAAGAAACUCGUUAAUGAUUUUCUUUCUACUUUUGUCCUACAGGCGAUAUGCCAAUACAGCAAAUUUGUACAUCAACAACAUUGUACUCUCCCAUUUUAAAUAGUGAAGUUCUCUCCUCUUUCGUCAUGCGAUUUUUUCUUGCAAAUAAUUUUUCACAUAAAUCCUUGUGUUUUAUUUUAUUUAUUAUUUUUUGUGAUUUGUCUAUUUUGCAAUCGUCAUUUUUGUUUCUAUUUGUGCGCUCAUCGUAACAUAACAAUAUCUCCAUUUAU